UACGUAGGGGGCAAGCGUUGUCCGGAAUCAUUGGGCGUAAAGAGCGUGUAGGCGGCUUGGUAAGUCCGCUGUGAAAGUCCAGGGCUCAACCCUGGAAUGCCGGUGGAAACUGUCAAGCUUGAGUCCGGAAGAGGCGAGUGGAAUUCCUGGUGUAGCGGUGAAAUGCGCAGAUAUCAGGAGGAACACCGGUGGCGAAGGCGGGUCUCUGGGCCGA
RNAcentral lists this ribosomal RNA (214 nucleotides) under uncultured bacterium. RNAcentral describes it as "partial 16S ribosomal RNA". It matches the Rfam family "Bacterial small subunit ribosomal RNA", at positions 524 to 737 of the family's 1533-position model. The record is from RNAcentral.